GCUGAAGAACGCAGCGAAAUGCGAUACGUAAUGUGAAUUGCAGAAUUCAGUGAAUCAUCGAAUCUUUGAACGCACAUUGCGCCUGCCAGCACUCUGGCAGGCAUGCCUGUUCGAGCGUCAUUUCAACCAUCAAGCCCUAGGCUUGCGUUGGAGCCCUGCGGCUGCCGCAGGCCCCUAAAGGCAGUGGCGGGCUCGCUAUCACACCGAGUGCAGUAGAUUACUCUUCGCUCAGGGCGUGUGGCGGGUUCCAGCCGUGAAACCCCCUACUUUUAAAGGUUGACCUCGGAUCAGGUAGGAAUACCCGCUGAACUUAAGCAUAUCAAUAAGCGGAGGA
This 334-nucleotide unclassified non-coding RNA is filed under the name soil metagenome. RNAcentral describes it as "partial contains 5.8S ribosomal RNA, internal transcribed spacer 2, and large subunit ribosomal RNA". The stretch from base 3 to 120 matches the Rfam family "5.8S ribosomal RNA", at positions 37 to 154 of the family's 154-position model. The record is from RNAcentral.